RNAcentral lists this ribosomal RNA (498 nucleotides) under uncultured bacterium. Its description in RNAcentral is "partial 16S ribosomal RNA". It matches the Rfam family "Bacterial small subunit ribosomal RNA", at positions 27 to 507 of the family's 1533-position model. The record is from RNAcentral.
GGAUGAACGCUGGCGGCGUGCCUAAUACAUGCAAGUCGAGCGAACGGACGAGAAGCUUGCUUCUCUGAUGUUAGCGGCGGACGGGUGAGUAACACGUGGAUAACCUACCUAUACGACUGGGAUAACUUCGGGAAACCGGAGCUAAUACCGGAUAAUAUUUUGAACCGCAUGGUUCAAAAGUGAAAGACGGUCUUGCUGUCACUUAUAGAUGGAUCCGCGCUGCAUUAGCUAGUUGGUAAGGUAACGGCUUACCAAGGCAACGAUGCAUAGCCGACCUGAGAGGGUGAUCGGCCACACUGGAACUGAGACACGGUCCAGACUCCUACGGGAGGCAGCAGUAGGGAAUCUUCCGCAAUGGGCGAAAGCCUGACGGAGCAACGCCGCGUGAGUGAUGAAGGUCUUCGGAUCGUAAAACUCUGUUAUUAGGGAAGAACAUAUGUGUAAGUAACUGUGCACAUCUUGACGGUACCUAAUCAGAAAGCCACGGCUAACUACGUG